ACAUUUUCACAAACCCUAUUUCAUUCUUCUCCUUCACCUUUCCAUCACAAGAUCCUCUUUCCCUCUGUUGUUCAUCCUCCUCCUUCACAUUUUCAUCUCAUCAACAACGUCCGGCAGAGGUUACAUCUAUUGGAUACAUCUGCAUUUGAAACCUUAAAUCAUGUACCGUCGAGUAGUUGAAGAACAUAAUAAUCAUAAGAAGAAGAAGCUCUCCUAGGGUUACUUAUCGUACACAAUGAACCCUUUUGUACAAGCUCCUGUUAAUCGGUGACCCUGAUGCUUGCUUUGUUGUACCAUUGAGUAGUUGAAGAACAGAAUAAUCAUAAGAAGAAGAAGCUCUCCUAGGGUUUCUUAUCGUACACAAUGAACCCUUUUGUACAAGCUCCUAUUAAUCGGUGACCCUGAAGUAACCUCUGCCGGAUGGUUGUUGAGGAGUUGAAAAUGUGAAAGAGAAGGAGAAGGACGCAUGUUCUACUUGAUUAUUCAUGUGGCAACUUUAUAAUUUCAGGCUUGUGAAUUAAGAUCACCCGUCAUCUUACUUUGAGCAAUUAAACGGAGUUUUCUUAAACAACACGAUAAGUUUCGUUCAUUAAUCCAUGCAUUUGUUAAUUCCUGAUGUUUUUUUAUUCUUAAUCGUUGAUUCUGUUUCAGGUACACUUUUUGUUGUUAGUUCCAUGUGUUUAUUUCAGAUUAAUUGUUGCUAUAUAUAUUGGUUUUGUUUUGACGAAAAGGGAAAACGUUCGAGCCGUUUGAUCCAAGAACCGAAGAAAACAUGUCGGAUAUUGCUCAAGGAGAUUAAGAUGAUGUUGAUCUGGCUAUUGAAGCUGCACGUUGAUCCACAAUAAGCACUGCCCAUCUAAGUUUCCUCUAAUAACAGUGGUUAUAACAAGUUAAUAAGGCAAAACACUGAUCUGCCUAACAACUGUUGGAUAUAAAGACUGUUGUACACAAAAACUGAUGAGGAUUAUCCACUGUUGAAGACCAAAGCACUCAUGAAGACCAAAGCUCUGUUGAAGACAAGCACUGAUGAACCAAAGUUCUGAUCAACCAAAGGUGAACCACUGCCCAACAACAACAGUGGUUCAGCAUCAACAACAGUUAUUCUACCUUUGUUUAUGUUAACAGUGUUUAUAUGUAACAAUAUUUAUCACUGGGGUGUGCACGGUUCGGUUCGGUUUUGAGCCAAAACCAAAACCGUAACCGCUAUAAUCGGUUUUUACAUUUCUAUAACCGAUCGAUUUCGGUUAUUUCGGUUUUUUUUUUGUUUUUUUUUUGUUUUUUUUGGUUUCGGUUCGGUUUCGGUUAAAUAACCGUUUUUUCCUUUCUUUACUUGGUGUGUAGUGUGCUAUAAUAUGCAAGAUUUGUGUACUAAUAAAUACUUGAUUUCGAAUUUAACUAGUUUUUACCAUCUCUAUUUCUAACUCAACAUGCCUAGAGGGCAAGAUAUCCUU
Helianthus annuus (common sunflower) is the source of this 1451-nucleotide long non-coding RNA. RefSeq lists it as uncharacterized. The transcript is spliced from 7 exons. Lineage: Eukaryota; Viridiplantae; Streptophyta; Magnoliopsida; Asterales; Asteraceae. The record is from RefSeq and is a predicted model, not a curated record.